CCUACAACUUGUGUGGUGUUUACUGGCGUAUUAUAUAUAAUGGAAGGAAGGUGGUGUGGGAUUGGGAAAGGAGGAGCGAAACUUGUACCAGACUGUCUAUCAGAAUAAUGGUUCCCAGGGCUCACUACGUGAUGAGUCUCUUCAUCCUAGUGCUAUUGUUCUCAUCCGAAGCAGCGUUUGCCAGAGUUUCCCACUUUUCAGAACCAAAGACAACGAAGGUAGCGAGCUUCUGGAGAUGAAUAAUAUUAACCUGGCAAAGAAAAUAAGCGGAAAUUCAGGCCAUGGUGUCUUGCAUUCUUCAAACGCCCCAGCACCAUCUCCAGGCAUAGGAGAAGAGGACCCGUACGUUUCUGGAUCGGAAACAUUUGCUGGCCGGCCCGGACUCAGCUAGCGGUACAAUACUACAGCCGAGGGGCGGUGUCAAUGAACAAUUAGAGUGGUCAGCUGACCCUUCUCAUAUUUGGAAUAUAUUGUAUUUGGUUUUUAUAUUUACCAGUCAAAAUAAUAUGGAAAUAUGGUGUGGUUGAUCAA
Long non-coding RNA from Prunus avium (sweet cherry), 531 nucleotides. RefSeq lists it as uncharacterized. The record is from RefSeq and is a predicted model, not a curated record. NCBI's taxonomy places the organism in Eukaryota, Viridiplantae, Streptophyta, Magnoliopsida, Rosales, Rosaceae.